This 429-nucleotide ribosomal RNA is filed under the name Gemmatimonadota bacterium. Its description in RNAcentral is "Gemmatimonadetes bacterium partial 16S ribosomal RNA". It matches the Rfam family "Bacterial small subunit ribosomal RNA", at positions 355 to 776 of the family's 1533-position model. The record is from RNAcentral. Lineage: Bacteria; Pseudomonadati; Gemmatimonadota.
UAGGGAAUCUUCGGCAAUGGACGAAAGUCUGACCGAGCAACGCCGCGUGAGUGAAGAAGGUUUUCGGAUCGUAAAACUCUGUUGUUAGAGAAGAACAAGGACGUUAGUAACUGAACGUCCCCUGACGGUAUCUAACCAGAAAGCCACGGCUAACUACGUGCCAGCAGCCGCGGUAAUACGUAGGUGGCAAGCGUUGUCCGGAUUUAUUGGGCGUAAAGCGAGCGCAGGCGGUUUCUUAAGUCUGAUGUGAAAGCCCCCGGCUCAACCGGGGAGGGUCAUUGGAAACUGGGAGACUUGAGUGCAGAAGAGGGGAGUGGAAUUCCAUGUGUAGCGGUAAAAUGCGUAGAUAUAUGGAGGAACACCAGUGGCGAAGGCGGCUCUCUGGUCUGUAACUGACGCUGAGGCUCGAAAGCGUGGGGAACAAACAGG